Non-coding RNA from Camellia sinensis, 487 nucleotides. The record is from RefSeq and is a predicted model, not a curated record. NCBI's taxonomy places the organism in Eukaryota, Viridiplantae, Streptophyta, Magnoliopsida, Ericales, Theaceae.
UACUAAACAAAAUAAAAUAAAUAAAACACUAUGGAAGAAAAAUAUAUCAAAGAAAAAACUUAUAUAGUCCUAUAACCCAUCCCAACCUUGAGGGGGGAAAUGUAUAAUUCAUGCAAACUUGUUAAAGGAUUUGUAGGGAGUAGAAAAAGCUAAACAUGCUAUGGUGAAGAUGGUAUAAAGUUUGAAAGAAUAUUUGCAUUAAAACUUGGAUUAAUAGUUUGUGGGAAAGGUCUUGAAAGCUUAGCACGCCAUUUUACAUCAUGAUUUUUCUCUUUUUUGUAUUUGGUGGGGGAAAGAAAUUUUCAAAUUUAACCCAACCAAAUGAAAUGCGGUGAAUAUGAUGAUAGGUCCUACUCAAACAAAUUAUCUAAAACUUUCCUACAAUGAAAGAGGAUGGAAAAGAAAGGACUGUAUGGAAGCACCUGUGCAAAGCAAAGACAGCAGAAGGAAACCAAAAUGAGAAAUGUCAAGAAUCUUUCAACCAAAC